UACGUAGGGUGCAAGCGUUAAUCGGAAUUACUGGGCGUAAAGCGUGCGCAGGCGGUUUGGUAAGACAGAUGUGAAAUCCCCGGGCUUAACCUGGGAAUUGCAUUUGUGACUGCCCGGCUAGAGUUUGGCAGAGGGGGGUAGAAUUCCACGUGUAGCAGUGAAAUGCGUAGAGAUGUGGAGGAACACCGAUGGCGAAGGCAGCCCCCUGGGCCAAUACUGACGCUCAUGCACGAAAGCGUGGGGAGCAAACAGG
This 253-nucleotide ribosomal RNA is filed under the name uncultured bacterium. Its description in RNAcentral is "partial 16S ribosomal RNA". It matches the Rfam family "Bacterial small subunit ribosomal RNA", at positions 524 to 776 of the family's 1533-position model. The record is from RNAcentral.